UGGUUUAUGGUCCCUGCCUGGGCC
This 24-nucleotide non-coding RNA is filed under the name Rattus norvegicus (Norway rat). The record is from RNAcentral. Lineage: Eukaryota; Metazoa; Chordata; Mammalia; Rodentia; Muridae.